This 301-nucleotide ribosomal RNA is filed under the name uncultured bacterium. RNAcentral's name for it is "partial 16S ribosomal RNA". It matches the Rfam family "Bacterial small subunit ribosomal RNA", at positions 509 to 807 of the family's 1533-position model. The record is from RNAcentral.
CAGCAGCCGCGGUAAUACGUAGGUGGCAAGCGUUGUCCGGAAUUAUUGGGCGUAAAGGGCUCGCAGGCGGUUUCUUAAGUCUGAUGUGAAAGCCCCCGGCUCAACCGGGGAGGGUCGUUGGAAACUGGGAAACUUGAGUGCAGAAGAGGAGAGUGGAAUUCCACGUGUAGCGGUGAAAUGCGUAGAGAUGUGGAGGAACACCAGUGGCGAAGGCGACGCUCUGGUCUGUAACUGACGCUGAGGAGCGAAAGCGUGGGGAGCGAACAGGAUUAGAUACCCCCGUAGUCCCUGUCUCUUAUAC